Molecule: ribosomal RNA, 316 nt
Filed under: uncultured ciliate
Lineage: Eukaryota; Ciliophora
Description: LSU rRNA
Rfam family: Eukaryotic large subunit ribosomal RNA
Source: RNAcentral
GACCCGUCUUGAAACACGGACCAAGGAGUCUAACACAUAUGCAAGUUUGCGAGUGAGAAAACUCGUAAGCGAAUUGAAAGAGAGUAUAAGAUGCCAAGGGAAACCGGCAGCAUCGGCCGUCCCUGAUCUUCUGUGAAGGGUAUGCGCAAGAGCAUAUUUGUUAGGACCCGAAAGAUGGUGAACUAUGCUUGAGUAGGGUGAAGCCAGGGGAAACUCUGGUGGAGGCUCGAAGCGAUACUGACGUGCAAAUCGUUCGUCAAACUUGAGUAUAGGGGCGAAAAACCAAUCGAACCAUCUAGUAGCUGGUUCCUUCCGA